Molecule: ribosomal RNA, 1782 nt
Filed under: Campylobacter coli
Lineage: Bacteria; Pseudomonadati; Campylobacterota; Epsilonproteobacteria; Campylobacterales; Campylobacteraceae
Description: partial 23S ribosomal RNA
Rfam family: Bacterial large subunit ribosomal RNA
Source: RNAcentral
AAAAAAGGUAAGCUACUAAGAGCGAAUGGUGGAUGCCUUGACUGGUAAAGGCGAUGAAGGACGUACUAGACUGCGAUAAGCUACGGGGAGCUGUCAAGAAGCUUUGAUCCGUAGAUUUCCGAAUGGGGCAACCCAAUGUAUAGAGAUAUACAUUACCUAUAUAGGAGCGAACGAGGGGAAUUGAAACAUCUUAGUACCCUCAGGAAAAGAAAUCAAUAGAGAUUGCGUCAGUAGCGGCGAGCGAAAGCGCAAGAGGGCAAACCCAGUGCUUGCACUGGGGGUUGUAGGACUGCAAUGUGCAAGAGGUGAGUUUAGCAGAACAUUCUGGAAAGUAUAGCCAUAGAGGGUGAUAGUCCCGUAUGCGAAAAACAAACCUUAGCUAGCAGUAUCCUGAGUAGGGCGGGACACGAGAAAUCCUGUCUGAAGCUGGGUCGACCACGAUCCAACCCUAAAUACUAAUACCAGAUCGAUAGUGCACAAGUACCGUGAGGGAAAGGUGAAAAGAACUGAGGUGAUCAGAGUGAAAUAGAACCUGAAACCAUUUGCUUACAAUCAUUCAGAGCCCUAUGUAGCAAUACAGGGUGAUGGACUGCCUUUUGCAUAAUGAGCCUGCGAGUUGUGGUGUCUGGCAAGGUUAAGCAAACGCGAAGCCGUAGCGAAAGCGAGUCUGAAUAGGGCGCUUAGUCAGAUGCUGCAGACCCGAAACGAAGUGAUCUAUCCAUGAGCAAGUUGAAGCUAGUGUAAGAACUAGUGGAGGACUGAACCCAUAGGCGUUGAAAAGCCCCGGGAUGACUUGUGGAUAGGGGUGAAAGGCCAAUCAAACUUCGUGAUAGCUGGUUCUCUCCGAAAUAUAUUUAGGUAUAGCGUUGUGUCGUAAUAUAAGGGGGUAGAGCACUGAAUGGGCUAGGGCAUACACCAAUGUACCAAACCCUAUCAAACUCCGAAUACCUUAUAUGUAAUCACAGCAGUCAGGCGGCGAGUGAUAAAAUCCGUCGUCAAGAGGGAAACAACCCAGACUACCAGCUAAGGUCCCUAAAUCUUACUUAAGUGGAAAACGAUGUGAAGUUACUUAAACAACCAGGAGGUUGGCUUAGAAGCAGCCAUCCUUUAAAGAAAGCGUAAUAGCUCACUGGUCUAGUGAUUUUGCGCGGAAAAUAUAACGGGGCUAAAGUAAGUACCGAAGCUGUAGACUUGCGCACAACUUAGAUUAUUUAAGUUUAGAAUAUGAGAAACUAAGUUAUAUGUUUAGUUAUAUUUUUACUGAUUUUUAUAGAGUAAAGAUAGAAAUAAAACUUAGUAAAAUCAGUAAAAAUAUUCUUAGACUAAAGUUAAGUAGUUUAAGUUGUGUGCAAGUGGUAGGAGAGCGUUCUAUUUGCGUCGAAGGUAUACCGGUAAGGAGUGCUGGAGCGAAUAGAAGUGAGCAUGCAGGCAUGAGUAGCGAUAAUUAAUGUGAGAAUCAUUAACGCCGUAAACCCAAGGUUUCCUACGCGAUGCUCGUCAUCGUAGGGUUAGUCGGGUCCUAAGUCGAGUCCGAAAGGGGUAGACGAUGGCAAAUUGGUUAAUAUUCCAAUACCAACAUUAGUGUGCGAUGGAAGGACGCUUAGGGCUAAGGGGGCUAGCGGAUGGAAGUGCUAGUCUAAGGUCGUAGGAGGUUAUACAGGCAAAUCCGUAUAACAAUACUCCGAGAACUGAAAGGCUUUUUGAAGUCUUCGGAUGGAUAGAAGAACCCCUGAUGCCGUCGAGCCAAGAAAAGUUUCUAAGUUUAGCUAAUGUUGCCCGUAC